This 439-nucleotide ribosomal RNA is filed under the name uncultured bacterium. RNAcentral's name for it is "partial 16S ribosomal RNA". It matches the Rfam family "Bacterial small subunit ribosomal RNA", at positions 339 to 795 of the family's 1533-position model. The record is from RNAcentral.
CUACGGGUUGCUCCAGUGGGGGAUAUUGCACAAUGGAGGAAACUCUGAUGCAGCAACGCCGCGUGGAGGAUGACACUUUUCGGAGCGUAAACUCCUUUUAUAUAGGAAGAACAUGACGGUACUAUAUGAAUAAGCGCCGGCUAACUCCGUGCCAGCAGCCGCGGUAAUACGGAGGGCGCAAGCGUUACUCGGAAUCACUGGGCGUAAAGAGCGUGUAGGCGGAUUAAAAAGUCAGAAGUGAAAUCCUAUAGCUUAACUAUAGAACUGCUUCUGAAACUCUUAAUCUAGAAUGUGGGAGAGGUAGAUGGAAUUUCUGGUGUAGGGGUAAAAUCCGUAGAGAUCAGAAGGAAUACCGAUUGCGAAGGCGAUCUACUAGAACAUUAUUGACGCUGAGACGCGAAAGCGUGGGGAGCAAACAGGAUUAGAUACCCCCGUAGUC